Molecule: long non-coding RNA, 4659 nt
Organism: Limulus polyphemus (Atlantic horseshoe crab)
Lineage: Eukaryota; Metazoa; Arthropoda; Merostomata; Xiphosura; Limulidae
Exons: 2
Source: RefSeq, a predicted model, not a curated record
GUAGCACUUGCCUAACAGUAGCGAUCCAACAUCCAACUGUAAUUUAUCAUCAUCUAAUGUUUCCAAUAUAUAUCAUGAUACUGGAAAUGGAUCAGGGCCUCGGGUAUCGGUGGAGUUGGGCAUGACCGAAGGAAACAGGUAUCAUUACUCUAACGUCCAGACGCAACCCCUGUCAAGGCUUCAGGAUAGUGUUGAUGUCAGUGUGAUGUAUUAUGGGAUGCCUUCUAACGGAUCAGAGCCUAGCCUUCAUUCUCCAACUUCGUACUCCAAGUCCACUGUCAUCUCCUCCAGUCAGCCCUCACCCCAGACCCCUCAAACACCAACCAUUAUUUUGACAGCUCCAGGAGGAGAAGAACCCCUGUUGAGGCAAGACUUUGCUAAAGAUAUUGGUUCAGCCAUGGCCAGUAUGUCUGGCUCCUUUGAGACAGAUUUUUUUUACUCCAGAUGAUGCAUUACGUGCCGGACUGGACCCCAUUGAUUUUGAUGGAUUACAGAUACUCACAGACCCUGAUAUUUGUGUAAUAAGUGACCCAGCUACCGAGGAGACUUUCAGACUUGAGCAUUCAUAGCAAUCAAUGGGAAGGUUUGGGAUAUAACAGGUGUGGGGCUCUAUCACUCAGCUAAAGAAUAUAAGCCAUAACAUUACUCCACCAUAUCCUGUGAGUUGAAGAGUAGUGAGUGUUUGCCAUAAAGGCACUUUGCCACAUUUCCAUUUGAACUAUUUAUUUGCUUUUGUAUAAAAUGGAAUGGAUUAUUUUUAAGAAUUGAAACAUGUUUUUUUUUUUAAAGGAUUCACCGGAUGAAGAGCCUGGAAACAAGAUAUAUCUUUUAAUUAAAUGAUUGUACUUUUAAAGCUUUUGUUUUUAAAACGAGUUAUCAUGCCUUAAGUGCAUGAGUGAUACUUUUAAUGUAUAUAACUGUAAAUUGUCAUUUUUGUAGUGUUAGUUCUUUAAAUGUUAGUACUGCUGACAAAGCACCAGUAUUAGAUUGUUAGAAACUGCACAUAAACUGGCAUUUAUUGUAAUAUAAUCAACUUUCAUUCAUGCCAUUUUGAAAAAUCAUUUUUUUAAGCUGUGUUAAACAGUAAUUACUUCUUACAGAUAUGUGUUGUAUCAUUCUUCAAAUAAUGUUUCCAGUGAGAAAAAUAUAAAUGUCAGUCUACUUGUUAUACCACUAUAUUCUAAAGAUUUCUUUCUUAAUUCCUUUUAUUUAAAAUCAACUUGCUUAUCCUCAGCAGAACUGUUAAAAUUUAUUCCUUAAAACCAAAACAUAGUUACUUCAACUUAUUUUACCUGUCUGUGAUUUUAAAGAAACAUGAUUCUUCAAGUUCUUACUGGACAGUAAGAUUUAUUGGAGUCGAACUAGCUGUUGCUUGAGAAAUGUCCCUGAAGAAUCUGUUCAGCCAGUGACAUGAAAAGCAUUUAAUUUCCUAGUCUUAUGUUUCUCAAGUGGACGUUCUCGUUUUAAAUUAUCUCCUUUAUUGUUUAGCUUGUCAUAACCCUAUCGCCACUGGAAUAACGCACGAAAACCAAAUCUUUAAGAUGUUUCGGUGAGAAGUUAUAACAUGAUAAAGUCAUAUCUAUUGUUAUGUUAUCAUUAUCAUAAAGUCAUAUCUAUUGUACAGUAAAAUAUUUUUGAAACAAUGGGAUUUAGAGAGCUAUUGUACUACAUUGCUGUUACUUGUUUCUAGGUUAUCCACCCGUUACUUGUUUGUAGGUUAUCCACCCUGUUACUUGUUUCGAGGUUAUCCACCCGUUACUUGUUUCGAGGUUAUCCACCCGUUACUUGUUUCGAGGUUAUCCACCCGUUACUUGUUUCGAGGUUAUCCACCCGUUACUUGUUUCGAGGUUAUCCACCCGCUACUUGUUUCGAGGUUAUCCACCCGCUACUUGUUUCGAGGUUAUCCACCCGCUACUUUUUUCGAGGUUAUCCACCCGUUACUUUUUUCGAGGUUAUCCACCCAUUACUUGUUUCGAGGUUAUCCACUCGUUACUUUUUUGUAUGUGUGUGUGUGCCACCAUUUUUGAUUAUUUUUACGUUUUACUUGAUUACACAAAAAGUUGUUUAUGUUUUAGUUUUAUUAUCAUUACCAAAAAUAAUACUGCAUGAAAACUAUAUGCAGAAGCAUUUUGAUUAUAAUAAAACUUAAAUGUUUAAGCUGCUCUGCGAUUCAGUUAAGUAGUGCAAAAAAAAUACAUUUAUGUGUAUUGACUAAUGUGCAAAGAAAUGGAUGAUUCAGUGAAAGUUUUUGUUUUUAUAUUAUUUGUAUAAUAUCAUGGUGAAAAGACUGUCAGAGUUUAAAAGGAAAUUAGCUUUUGUUGUUAAUAUAUGCAUCACUUGUGGCUGGGGGGGUGGGGAUAUGUGAACAAUUUAAAAUGCAAUAGUGCACAUUUAUUGUGUAUAUUUAACAACCUAAUUAACUUAUUAUGGGAAUUGUAUGCAGCAUUUAUGAUAAAAUUUUGAUAUGAAUAUUUUAUUUAGUGUUUCUUCAUAAUCUAUUAGUCUUCAAAAUGCCUAAAAAAAACUCUUUGCUCUUUGUCAUUCAAAUAAAGCUGUUCCAAGCUAUUCUAUUAAAUAUUUGAAUAAGUCCUGUAACUCAUGAUAAGCUGACUGUAUUAAAAUAUUCUUGACCGUCAAAUUACGUUCUUAUUAAAAGUGUUUCGGAUUCACAAGUUGAAUUGUUAUUUACCGAUACAAUCAUGUAAAUUAUUCAUUUCUCAUGUGAUGAGCUAUAAUGGUUGAGUAUUUUUAGUUCUGUGAAAGUGAUAUAAAUGGUCUUUAGAUAUUAGUGUUUACUGUUUAUGACUGAUAACUAUUACAUGCUAAUUAUUAUAUGACCAAAGAAUUUCGUGAAGAAAAUUAUAAAACAUUAUGAAACAAAAUAACUGGUAAAUUUUAGAUAUUUGUUUCUAAACUGUAAUAUCCUUUUUUUAGGUAGUUAGUUUUGCCAGGUUUAUACAACUCUGUGUACUUAAUAAACAUGUUGAACUCUAGUUGAAGAUUAAUUUAAAAUUAAAUUUUUAAUCUGGAGAAUUAUACCCCACCUAAAGCUCAUUAAUCUUGUAAACAUGAUAUACCCACACAAAAUACACAAUUAAGUUAAUAACUGUUUUUUUUUAACUUAUCUGUUCUUUUCUUAGUUCUAAAUGAAGAACGAAGUGUAACUUACACUAAUUUCACUCACAUGCAUGUGACAAACUGUAUUUCCAUUAGUAUAUUUUGUAUGGAUCUUUGAAAAGCUGCUUGUAAUGUGAUCCAUUCUAAUGCUACUAUUUCACUGAAGACAAAAGGAGCAUUUUGUGCUUGUUUCUGAUUUAAUCUUUCAGUUUUUAUUUAACCUUCAACAGAUUUAUUGUGAAGUGUGAUUGAUAAAGAGUGUACCCGUCAUAAUGCUCUAGAGAUAUUUUCUAGUUAAAACUCACAUCAGAUAUAAAUCUAUUUUUGUUUUCAAUUAGGUGUGGAGUUUUUAUAUUAAAAUGGAUUCCUUUAUAAUACAACUUAAGAUUGUAUUUUUAUUUUCAAUUAGGUGUGGAGUUUUUAUAUUAAAAUGGAUUCCUUUAUAAUACAACUUAAGAUUGUAUUUUUAUUUUCAAUUAGGUGUGGAGUUUUUAUAUUAAAAUGGAUUCCUUUAUAAUACAACUUAAGAUUGUAUUUUUGUUUUCAAUUAGGUGUGGAGUUUUUAUAUUAAAAUGGAUUCCUUUAUAAUACAACUUAAAAUUGUAUUUUUAUUUUUCAGCAUAGCCAUUACUUUUUUGAAGUUUAUACUAAAAUCUGAAGAUGUGUAAAUUGUUUUAUAAAUUUUGAAGACUUAUUUAUGAUAAGAUUAUGAAUUUAUCUUUCCAGUUUUGAGCUCAGUCUUAUCUUAGAAUCGUAAACACAAUUCAAAUUAUGAAACCGGAAACUAUUAAAACCAAAGAAACCUGUUGCGUAGUAAAUUGUUGAACCAUGUCCUUCUAAAAUAAAAAUACCUACAAGGUUCUAAAUGAGUCAUUUUUCUGGUUUCAUUGUCGAUAGGGAAUUAGAAUUCAUUGUGUUCAUGUGUAAAAACCCGGUGAAGGUGAAGUUUUGUGUAUUUAUAUGCAUAAACAGCAAAUGUUGUAUAUAUAAGACUCGUAUUGAUAUCACUGUGGAGCAUGUACAUUUUUUUUCUACAAGAUUUUAAAAGAUUUUCAUAAUAUAAUAAGCAUUUUAAACUGCCUUUAGAUUGUCACUUGAUUGAGGCUUUCUCCAGAAUUUAUUCAUUGUUUAUUACUGUGUGAUAACAGUGUUAUUGUACCAUUAUAAUGUGGGUAUUGUUUAUGUUGGAUUUAUUAUUGAUUUACCAGCUUUAUUUCAAAGGUGUGGAUAUUGUUUCUUUUGUAGUAUUAUGAUGUUCACCUGUGUGAAAACUUAUCGAAUGAUCGCAACUGUUGUUUUGUUUUCCAGCAACAUCAUAUUCGAAUAGUAUAUAUACAUGUAUGUUUAUAUCUGUCAUAAAGUUAUAAACAGAUUUGGACCUGACUUAAAAUUAACCAGUUGUCAUUUAAAUUGUAUGUAACAAUUACAUUGCAAAUGGUAUCAAACGUUUGUUGUCUUACGGAUUUAUGUCUUAUCGUUAAUUGUUUACCAUGUAAUGGUUUAAAAUCUUUGUUAAAGAGAAUAUAUAAUGACUAAAAAAAA